RNAcentral lists this unclassified non-coding RNA (271 nucleotides) under Hevea brasiliensis (rubber tree). The record is from RNAcentral. Lineage: Eukaryota; Viridiplantae; Streptophyta; Magnoliopsida; Malpighiales; Euphorbiaceae.
AAUUUUGAGGAAAAUUAAAGAAAAUCAUUUAUUGUUUGAAAAGAAUUUAAUCACUUCAAAAAUAAGGACUCUGGGUUCGGAUCCAUAUACGUGUGGGGAACACCCCACAUCGUCCCUUAAUGAGGGCAAGUAGAUUCAAAGGUGUGCUCUUUAUAUUACUGGGAUUUUCAAACUACCAUGUUGAUUCUCGUAUCUAUCACAAGAACAUUUUAUUUUUCACUAAUUAGAGUAAUCCCAAAUACGGGGGUAAAUGGGGAGUCUUUAAGGUGGG